This is a small nucleolar RNA of Carcharodon carcharias (great white shark), 77 nucleotides long. RefSeq annotates it as small nucleolar RNA SNORD20. The transcript has a single exon. NCBI's taxonomy places the organism in Eukaryota, Metazoa, Chordata, Chondrichthyes, Lamniformes, Lamnidae. The record is from RefSeq and is a predicted model, not a curated record.
UGGAUAUGAUGAAUUUCUAUCUGAUAAACAUGAUGAAUCUUUGACCUUUUCCUCUAGAUAGUCAAGUGCUGAUCCAG